CGGCGUGCCUAACACAUGCAAGUCGAACGAGAAAAUUUCCUUCGGGGAAUGAGUAAAGUGGCGCAAGGGUGAGUAACACGUGAAUAAUCUGCCUUCGAACCUGGGAUAACUUGACGAAAGUUAAGCUAAUACCGGAUAAGACCACGCUUCACAAGAAGUGCGGCCAAAGGGGUCUCAAACCCUGUUUGAAGAUGAGUUCGCGUACCAUUAGCUUGUUGGUGAGAUAACAGCCCACCAAGGCGACGAUGGUUAGCCGGCCUGAGAGGGUGAUCGGCCACACUGGAACUGAGACACGGUCCAGACUCCUACGGGAGGCAGCAGUGGGGAAUUUUGCGCAAUGGGCGAAAGCCUGACGCAGCAACGCCGCGUGAGCGAUGAAGGCCUUCGGGUCGUAAAGCUCUGUCAAGUGGGAAGAACACAAUGACGGUACCACUAGAGGAAGCCCCGGCUAACUUCGUGCCAGCAGCCGCGGUAAUACGAAGGGGGCAAGCGUUGUUCGGAAUUAUUGGGCGUAAAGCGUGUGUAGGUGGUUUUUCAAGUCAGACGUGUAAGCCCUCGGCUCAACCGAGGAAUUGCG
This 577-nucleotide ribosomal RNA is filed under the name uncultured bacterium. Its description in RNAcentral is "bacterial SSU rRNA". It matches the Rfam family "Bacterial small subunit ribosomal RNA", at positions 40 to 625 of the family's 1533-position model. The record is from RNAcentral.